GGAAAAAGAAGAGUGGCGAACGGGUGAGUAACACGUGGGUAACCUGCCCAUCAGAAGGGGAUAACACUUGGAAACAGGUGCUAAUACCGUAUAACAAUCAAAACCGCAUGGUUUUGAUUUGAAAGGCGCUUUCGGGUGUCGCUGAUGGAUGGACCCGCGGUGCAUUAGCUAGUUGGUGAGGUAACGGCUCACCAAGGCCACGAUGCAUAGCCGACCUGAGAGGGUGAUCGGCCACAUUGGGACUGAGACACGGCCCAAACUCCUACGGGAGGCAGCAGUAGGGAAUCUUCGGCAAUGGACGAAAGUCUGACCGAGCAACGCCGCGUGAGUGAAGAAGGUUUUCGGAUCGUAAAACUCUGUUGUUAGAGAAGAACAAGGAUGAGAGUAACUGUUCAUCCCUUGACGGUAUCUAACCAGAAAGCCACGGCUAACUACGUGCCAGCAGCCGCGGUAAUACGUAGGUGGCAAGCGUUGUCCGGAUUUAUUGGGCGUAAAGCGAGCGCAGGCGGUUUCUUAAGUCUGAUGUGAAAGCCCCCGGCUCAACCGGGGAGGGUCAUUGGAAACUGGGAGACUUGAGUGCAGAAGAGGAGAGUGGAAUUCCAUGUGUAGCGGUGAAAUGC
This 620-nucleotide ribosomal RNA is filed under the name uncultured Bacilli bacterium. RNAcentral describes it as "bacterial SSU rRNA". It matches the Rfam family "Bacterial small subunit ribosomal RNA", at positions 83 to 689 of the family's 1533-position model. Lineage: Bacteria; Bacillati; Bacillota; Bacilli. The record is from RNAcentral.